AUGUCGCCUCCUUGUCUCUGCGACGACGGCUUCUCCUCUUCUUUUCACCGGCCCAUCUACCUCAUCGAUUCACAAUGGAUUCCACCUUCCUCAUCAUCGCCAACCCGUCUCGCCCGCAACAAGCUCUUUUCAACGAUUCAAUCCACUUUCACUGAUUCAAUUCUCUUUCCAACAUCUCUUCCAAUCUCCGAUCGAACCUGGCUACAGGAGCGUUUGAAGAUGGCUCGGAAUUGGAGUCAAGGAAGUUUGAGAAGACGACAUGAGGCGCUAGCCAAAGCCAAUCAGUCUGCAUUCUGUGCUAAAUGA
Molecule: non-coding RNA, 306 nt
Organism: Vicia faba (fava bean)
Lineage: Eukaryota; Viridiplantae; Streptophyta; Magnoliopsida; Fabales; Fabaceae
Source: the annotation of a GenBank genome assembly